Molecule: ribosomal RNA, 468 nt
Filed under: Klebsiella pneumoniae
Lineage: Bacteria; Pseudomonadati; Pseudomonadota; Gammaproteobacteria; Enterobacterales; Enterobacteriaceae
Description: partial 23S ribosomal RNA
Rfam family: Bacterial large subunit ribosomal RNA
Source: RNAcentral
GGGACACGUGGUAUCCUGUCUGAAUAUGGGGGGACCAUCCUCCAAGGCUAAAUACUCCUGACUGACCGAUAGUGAACCAGUACCGUGAGGGAAAGGCGAAAAGAACCCCGGCGAGGGGAGUGAAAAAGAACCUGAAACCGUGUACGUACAAGCAGUGGGAGCACCUUCGGGUGUGACUGCGUACCUUUUGUAUAAUGGGUCAGCGACUUAUAUUCUGUAGCAAGGUUAACCGUAUAGGGGAGCCGCAGGGAAACCGAGUCUUAACUGGGCGUUAAGUUGCAGGGUAUAGACCCGAAACCCGGUGAUCUAGCCAUGGGCAGGUUGAAGGUUGGGUAACACUAACUGGAGGACCGAACCGACUAAUGUUGAAAAAUUAGCGGAUGACUUGUGGCUGGGGGUGAAAGGCCAAUCAAACCGGGAGAUAGCUGGUUCUCCCCGAAAGCUAUUUAGGUAGCGCCUCGUGAACUC